CCAGUACUGAGUAAUGAUAACUAGGUUAUAUACACAGGGUACCAGUACUGAGUAAUGAUAACUAGGUUAUAUACACAGGGUACCAGUAAUGAUAACUAGGUUAUAUACACAGGGUACCAGUACUGAGUAAUGAUAACUAGGUUAUAUACACAGGGUACCAGUACUGAGUAAUGAUAACUAGGUUAUAUACACAGGAUACCAGUAAUGAUAACUAGGUUAUAUACACAGGGUACCAGUAAUGAUAACUAGGUUAUAUACACAGGGUACCAGUACUGAGUAAUGAUAACUAGGUUAUAUACACAGGGUACCAGUACUGAGUAAUGAUAACUAGGUUAUAUACACAGGAUACCAGUAAUGAUAACUAGGUUAUAUACACAGGGUACCAGUACUGAGUAAUGAUAACUAGGUUAUAUACACAGGGUACCAGUACUGAGUCGAUGUGCAGGGGCUGAGGUGACUUGAGGUAGAUAUGUAUGUAUAGGUAGGGACAUCAUUGCGUCACGCAAGCUCCCCACUCGUAACGUUAGCUCCCCGCUCGUCACGUUAGCUCCCCGCUCGUCACGCUAGCUCCCCGCUCGUCACGCUAGCUCCCCGCUCGUCACGUUAGCUCCCCGCUCGUCACGUUAGCUCCCCGCUCGUCACGUUAGCUCCCCGCUCGUCACGUUAGCUCCCCGCUCGUCACGUUAGCUCCCCGCUCGUCACGUUAGCUCCCCGCUCGUCACGUUAGCUCCCCGCUCGUCACGCUAGCUCCCCGCUCGUCACGUUAGCUCCCCGCUCGUCACGCUAGCUCCCCGCUCGUCACGUUAGCUCCCCGCUCGUCACGCUAGCUCCCCGCUCGUCACGCUAGCUCCCCGCUCGUCACGCUAGCUCCCCGCUCGUCACGUUAGCUCCCCGCUCGUCACGCUAGCUCCCCGCUCGUCA
This is a long non-coding RNA of Oncorhynchus keta (chum salmon), 921 nucleotides long. RefSeq lists it as uncharacterized. The transcript is spliced from 3 exons. The record is from RefSeq and is a predicted model, not a curated record. Lineage: Eukaryota; Metazoa; Chordata; Actinopteri; Salmoniformes; Salmonidae.